RNAcentral lists this small RNA (485 nucleotides) under Pan troglodytes (chimpanzee). RNAcentral's name for it is "retained intron". Lineage: Eukaryota; Metazoa; Chordata; Mammalia; Primates; Hominidae. The record is from RNAcentral.
GAUGUCCUGACACUGUCCAGCAGCACAGAAAGUGAGGGGGAAAGUGGGACCAGCCGAAAGCCCACUGCUGGUCAGACUUCGGCUACAGCGGUUGACAGUGAUGAUAUCCAGACCAUAUCCUCUGGCUCUGAAGGGGAUGACUUUGAGGACAAGAAGAACAUGACUGGUCCAAUGAAGCGUCAAGUGGCAGUAAAAUCAACCCGAGGCUUUGCUCUUAAAUCAACCCAUGGGAUUGCAAUUAAAUCAACCAACAUGGCCUCUGUGGACAAGGGGGAGAGCGCACCUGUUCGUAAGAACACACGCCAAUUCUAUGAUGGCGAGGAGUCUUGCUACAUCAUUGAUGCCAAGCUUGAAGGCAACCUGGGCCGCUACCUCAACGUGAGACCCCUCUCCCCACCUCUAGAUGCUGGAUUAUCCCAUGGUCCUCAGAUUUCUUUUAACAUACUCUAUAAGCCCUUUUCUUGUUAUAAACUCUUGAUCUCAAA